This 484-nucleotide ribosomal RNA is filed under the name uncultured bacterium. RNAcentral describes it as "partial 16S ribosomal RNA". It matches the Rfam family "Bacterial small subunit ribosomal RNA", at positions 30 to 507 of the family's 1533-position model. The record is from RNAcentral.
AUUGAACGCUGGCGGCAGGCCUAACACAUGCAAGUCGAGCGGAUGAAGGGAGCUUGCUCCUGGAUUCAGCGGCGGACGGGUGAGUAAUGCCUAGGAAUCUGCCUGGUAGUGGGGGAUAACGUCCGGAAACGGGCGCUAAUACCGCAUACGUCCUGAGGGAGAAAGUGGGGGAUCUUCGGACCUCACGCUAUCAGAUGAGCCUAGGUCGGAUUAGCUAGUUGGUGGGGUAAAGGCCUACCAAGGCGACGAUCCGUAACUGGCCUGGGGGGAUGAUCAGUCACACUGGAACUGGAACAAGGGCCAGGCUCCUACGGGAGGCAGCAGUAGGGAAUCUUCGGCAAUGGGCGAAAGCCUGAAGCAGCCAAGCCGCGGGGGGGAAGAAGGUCUUCGGAUUGGAAAACCCUUUUAUUUGGGAAGAACGGGAAUGAAGUAAUACCUUGCUGUUUUGACGUUACCAACAGAAUAAGCACCGGCUAACUUCGUG